Molecule: RNA transcript, 3392 nt
Organism: Sitodiplosis mosellana (orange wheat blossom midge)
Lineage: Eukaryota; Metazoa; Arthropoda; Insecta; Diptera; Cecidomyiidae
Gene name: tyrosine-protein phosphatase non-receptor type 61F-like
Exons: 6
Source: RefSeq, a predicted model, not a curated record
UGUUGUGAGCCACCAGGGAACGUUGUUCGUGUGUAUGCGUUAGUAUGCGUAUGUAUUAGUGAUAUACGACUGUUCCAAAGCAGAAAUUUUCAGCGGCGCCACUGCUAGAAAAAACGAAACACAAAACAUCAAUAGAUUCAAAGUGCUCAGUGAGUUUUUACGCCCAGCCAACAGCAAAACACAUUCUUUUCCUUCCUUUUGCUGCAUUAAAACAUUUAUUUAUUUAACCCAGUCGAUUCAAUUUUAGUUUCAAUGUGAAAAAAAUUACCCAAUUUUGCAAUCAAAUGCAAAUAAAUUUUCGUUAAAUUGAAUUUCGGAUUUUCGUUGUAAAUUCGUUUGUGUAUGUGUGUAUAUGUGUGUGUGUAUGUGAAAACAUAAAAUGAGUAAUAUUAAUAAAUGCUGCUGCGUCUCGACUGCCAUAUAAACAAAUACGAACAGGAACGAAAUAAAAAAAAGAAACCUAUUCACACACCUUCAAACGAGUAGUACAGAGUAGAAGGUGCAUCUAUCCGUCGUUGUUGACUCCAUUGUGUGUACUUUUCUCUCUGCUUUUUACAUGUCAAACGGCGUUCGCGUUAGUCAUCGCCAAACAAUUUUGUGUGUUUAUUGUUGCGUUACAAAUUUACUGUGUGUACGAACUGCAAAUUUAAAGUGAAAAACCCCAAAUUCCUAUUUUGGUUUUUAUUUUGCUUUCAAUUUUGGGUUUGAAAAGAAAGAAAAAAAAUUGUCCAGCGAAAAAAAACAACAAUAUUAAAACAACAGACAAAUAGAGACAAACAUGAGUACGAUUGGUGAUUUUGGUACGCUUUCGCUAAAAUGGGAUCUGAAAAAUUUGGAAAUUCGUACGAUGUCGGUGGAGAAAACACUUGAGCCACUUGUGUUGCAAGUUACAACGUUGGUCAACACAAAAGGACCCAGCAAAAAGAAGAAAGUGAACUACUAAAUAAGCAAGAAAAAAAAACACAACUACAAAGCGGCAAGUGAAAUGCCAUCAGUAUUGGCCAGACCGAAUCGGACCGGAGCACACAAUGACAUUGAACGAUCUUGGCCUAACGGUAGAAUAUUUAAAAUGCGAAAACUAUACAAACUUUUCGAAGCGAACAUUUCGUCUGACCGACACGGAAUCAUCGAAAUCACGCGAAGUAAUCCAGUUCCACUAUACCAGCUGGCCGGAUUUCUAUGUUCCUAGCUCUCCGGUGGCCUUUUUGCAAUUUUUGAAAAAGGUACGAGACUCAGGCGCAUUGAAUUCCGACGUUGGACAAGCGGUCGUACACUGUAGCGCCGGCAUCGGACGAUCCGGAACGUUUUGUUUAGUCGAUAGUUGCUUAGUGUUGGUGGAAAAAGACGGGAAAAACAAGAUAAGUGUUCCUGAUUUGUUGCUUAAACUACGACGAUCGCGAAUGCCAACCACUUCACCACCGAUUAUACUCUUUAUACAUUCAAAAAGCGUCUCAAGAAAUUAGUUCUUACCUGAUCGAUUCGUGACUUCUUUUCUCUCUAUAAUCAAUUUAAAUAACUCCUUAACCCUCUUAAUUCAUCUUAAAAUUGCUUAAAAUCUAAUGAAAUUGUGAUAAUAUUUUUUAAUAAAUAUAAGGAAAACAAACCAAUUGCAAUUGACAAAAAAAAAACAUUAAAAAUUGGUCCUAAAAUUGUAUAUAUAUGGACUGGUAAUUUAUUUAGAUACCCCAAUAUUCUCGAACAAAAAUUAAAAAUGUAAUCAAAAUGAUAGAAAAAAAAAAUUUGUCUAAUGAUUUGGGAGUAGUGUGGUCAUAACAUGUAAAGUCAUUUCAAUAGUAGAUCUCAACCAUUGUAUAAUUUAGUUCGGACCAAUUGUAUUUUUCAUAUCAAGCAAUCAUUGGAGGAAUCAAGCAUUUCAACGAUCCAACCUUCGGCGACCAUGACGAAGUUCCAAAAAUUGACAACGAAGACUAUAGUACUGAAACGGAUCCGCCUAGACCACCGCCACGGUGAACAUCAAUAUUACAGUCACAACAUAAACCACUGCCAACUGUACCAACAAAUGAUAACGACCAUGUAUCGGUUAAUAAUAAUAAUAACUCGGAGAAUGGUGAUGGAACGCGUUCUGAACGCCCGUUGCCACCAUUGCCCGAUGAGUCGCCAGAUGAUAGCGAUAGUGAAGACAUCGAGGAUGAUUCAGAUGAGGACAUGAGCGACGAACAAGAUGUUGAUUUAGAUGAUGACGACAACGACGACGACGAUGGUGUGGAUGAUGACGAACAAGCAACUACGGAGCAAACCACAAAAUUGCUCAACGGAACUAGUAGUAAUGGAAGCAAUGAGUGUGAAGACAGUUUCAAUCCGGAUGCAACGUUACCACCGUCACCAACAAAAAUGUCAACCACAAGCCUCACCGAAUUCAACAAUUCGAAUUCAUCACUGGAAACACCGUCAUCACCGGAGAACGACAGUGGAUUGACGUCGACUGCUGAACUCCGACGACGAAAACGAAAGGAACGCAAUGCAGACAUCGAGGCGAAAAUUAAGGAUAUCAAGAGAAAACAGAAAGAAACGGAGGCUGCUGCUGAAGCAGCACCAAAAAAACGCAGGUGCCACAUGAUUUUUUCUGGUGUUGUUGUUUGCGUUAUUUGUUGUGCAAAUGUAUACUCGAAGUUCGGUCAAACGAAAAUCAUUUUUCCCCUUUCCCCAUUUAAAAAAAAAAAAAACCAAUUCGAAUAAUUUUCUUUUAAUUACUUUUUUUUUCUUCUCCAAAUUGCAAUUCAAAACGUGUUCUAUGUAAUCUCCGCCAAUUUUCUUUUCCGUUUCUUCGCGACUUCUCAAUUUUUAUUUUGAAGAAUUAUUCCAUUUGAAAAUACAAAGAAUAGAUACAAUUGUCUUCUCUUAUGGACUAGGAAUUUACAUGAAAAUGAGAACUAAAUCAUUUUAUCCACUCUUUUAAUGGGACAAGAAACUCCUUUGGUUUAUUCCGCGUAAUUUUCCUCCCCUAAUCGGAUAGAUAGAUGUGUAUUUUUAUUUAUCAUCGUUGUCAUGCAAGAAACAUUCGAAAAUUUGAAAAAUGAUUCCCCUUCCCCCAAAAAACAAUCGAUUGAGAGCCAGAAAAGAUGAUCCGAAUUGAUUGACUAAAUUUUAAGAUGAAAGUGAAAGAUGAGAUAUUAACUAAGGCUACAUGGCUUGAAAUGAUUUAUAUAUAUAAUAUGUAUGAAACCAGGUAAAUGCCACAGACUGAUAAGCAAUUAACCUUUGAACAAAACAAAACAAAACAAAAACAAAUCAAACGGGGAAAAAAAGUCUUUAAUAAAAAUGAACUUAUUUGUAUAUAUGAGAAACCUUUUGAGAAUAUGUGAACAAACAGGAACUGUAGCAUUUUCGAAAUUGUCCACCAUAAAAUGAAAUAAAACGAAAUAAGUACCAUA